Molecule: ribosomal RNA, 402 nt
Filed under: bacterium
Lineage: Bacteria
Description: partial 16S ribosomal RNA
Rfam family: Bacterial small subunit ribosomal RNA
Source: RNAcentral
UGGGGAAUUUUGCACAAUGGGGGAAACCCUGAUGCAGCGACGCCGCGUGAUUUAGAAGGCCUUCGGGUUGUAAAAAUCUUUUCUAUGGGAAGAAAAUGACAGUACCAUAGGAAUAAGGACCGGCUAAUUACGUGCCAGCAGCCGCGGUAAUACGUAAGGUCCGAGCGUUGUCCGGAAUCAUUGGGCGUAAAGGGUACGUAGGCGGGUAAGCAAGUUAGAAGUGAAAUCCUAUAGCUCAACUAUAGUAAGCCUUUAAAACUGCUCAUCUUGAGGUAUGGAAGGGAAAGUGGAAUUCCUAGUGUAGCGGUGAAAUGCGCAGAUAUUAGGAGGAAUACCGGUGGCGAAGGCGACUUUCUGGCCAUAACCUGACGCUGAGGUACGAAAGCGUGGGUAGCAAACAGG